ACUACACUCGCACAAACUGAGAAGAGUUAGUUCAUUGAGAAUGGAUUGAAACUGAUGAAGAGCUGGAAGGAGUUAACUGAUGAGUAGACUUUACAACAUUUCUUAUAUUUGCAAGAUGAAGCUGAAAGUCCCAUGCAGGAUGAUGCUUCUCUACAGUGGAUGAUGAAGGCAUGCUGGUUUACAAACUCAGGAGAGGAACAAAUAACAGAUAUUGACAGGAUCAUAUCUAGAGAUGCGAGCCUACUAUACACUUCAUACGAGCAAGUGUGCUAAUAUACAUGCUGACUUGGGUUAUCAUCACAGCCCUUUCUUCUGAAAACUAGCCUACAACUUCAUCGAUGAAUGCAGAAGACAUCUACAUGGGACUACGUCUUAAAGAUGCCAUCCUCAUAUAAUGAAAGAGGACAGUAGAGAUGGGUUUAAACUUGAAU
RNAcentral lists this long non-coding RNA (431 nucleotides) under Strongylocentrotus purpuratus (purple sea urchin). RNAcentral describes it as "uncharacterized LOC115928819". Lineage: Eukaryota; Metazoa; Echinodermata; Echinoidea; Camarodonta; Strongylocentrotidae. The record is from RNAcentral.